UAGCUCAAUUGGUAGAGUGCUUGCUUCUCAUGCAUAAGGCCCUGGGUUCAAUCCCCAG
This 58-nucleotide transfer RNA is filed under the name Ictidomys tridecemlineatus (thirteen-lined ground squirrel). RNAcentral describes it as "Spermophilus tridecemlineatus (thirteen-lined ground squirrel) tRNA". It matches the Rfam family "tRNA", at positions 8 to 63 of the family's 71-position model. Rfam says of the family: Transfer RNA (tRNA) molecules are approximately 80 nucleotides in length. Their secondary structure includes four short double-helical elements and three loops (D, anti-codon, and T loops). Further hydrogen bonds mediate the characteristic L-shaped molecular structure. tRNAs have two regions of fundamental functional importance: the anti-codon, which is responsible for specific mRNA codon recognition, and the 3' end, to which the tRNAs corresponding amino acid is attached (by aminoacyl-tRNA synthetases). tRNAs cope with the degeneracy of the genetic code in two manners: having more than one tRNA (with a specific anti-codon) for a particular amino acid; and 'wobble' base-pairing, i.e. permitting non-standard base-pairing at the 3rd anti-codon position. Lineage: Eukaryota; Metazoa; Chordata; Mammalia; Rodentia; Sciuridae. The record is from Rfam by way of RNAcentral.